UACGGGGGGAGCAAGCGUUGUUCGGAUUUACUGGGCGUAAAGGGCGCGUAGGCGGUCUUCCAAGUCAGUGGUGAAAGCCCGGAGCUCAACUCCGGAACUGCCAUUGAAACUGUAAGACUUGAGGACGAGAGAGGUGAGUGGAAUUCCCAGUGUAGAGGUGAAAUUCGUAGAUAUUGGGAAGAACACCAGUGGCGAAGGCGGCUCACUGGCUCGUAUCUGACGCUCAGGCGCGACAGCGUGGGGAUCAAACAGG
This 253-nucleotide ribosomal RNA is filed under the name uncultured bacterium. RNAcentral describes it as "partial 16S ribosomal RNA". It matches the Rfam family "Bacterial small subunit ribosomal RNA", at positions 524 to 776 of the family's 1533-position model. The record is from RNAcentral.